GGCCAUAGGCGAGCAGAAACACCGGAGAGCGCCGAGAUGAGAGAGAUGGGGGACCGGCCGUAGCAGGGCUCGACCUUGUCGUCGUCCCGUUCCGGGCAUGCGCCCGCUCGUGGGAGCCACACCAACGUUGAACCAAAGGUGUGUGUGCUUGAGAUAGUGAGUAGUUGCGUGGGAAACACGUGCCCCUGCCAUCAACCGAACUCCGUCGAUGGUCCACCGUACACCAUGGUCGGACCUGCUACCAUCUUCUCCCAUUGGUUAGACGUCGCAGUCUUUGUUCGAUUUGGUCUCCACGUUGCGUUGCAUCUGUUACCAGGGAUAGCGGGGCAUUGGGUGACGAACUGGGAACUCUGGUGAGUCCUCUACCGCGGGCUGCGAGCGGGCGCCACCGUCUGCUGCUCAUCGGAAUAGACGAUGAACACUUAUCGUCCAUCUGACAUUGUGCGGCUACGAUUUGAUCAGAGUAUACCGGUUCGCCAAAUAAAAGUAGAACCGUCGGUUCUCAGGCAUGCGUCCGAGAUCGAGUGUUGGCGUGGACGUCUCGUUGACCAUGGAUCUACGAUCUAACGGUUCAGUGUUAGGCUGUCUCCAGCAACGUCCUCUAUAUUCAUCCUCUAUAUCUGUCCUUUACAGUCUCCUCUAAAAGAUUUCAUCCUCUAUAUCUCAUUUCUCUCCAACAACGUCCUCUAAAUCACGUUCUCUAUACUCAAAUACUCAUAUUAAAGACAUUUUUUUAAUU
Molecule: long non-coding RNA, 739 nt
Filed under: Zea mays
Lineage: Eukaryota; Viridiplantae; Streptophyta; Magnoliopsida; Poales; Poaceae
Description: long non-coding RNA NONZMAT001938
Source: RNAcentral